CUCCUCUCAGGGUCACAUCUGGAGAGUUCCCAGUACUCUACCGGUCUUGACUACUGGAGGGAGAGUCAGGUAGAGGCUUACCCGUUCCAUUCCUAGCUUGAGCAGUGGCUAGUGAGUAGGAGGUAUUCUGCUACGAGU
Molecule: non-coding RNA, 138 nt
Organism: Ornithorhynchus anatinus (platypus)
Lineage: Eukaryota; Metazoa; Chordata; Mammalia; Monotremata; Ornithorhynchidae
Source: Rfam